AGACCCACUCCUAAGGAACUUUCGAUUCAGUUGCCUGUCUGAACAGUGACUACCAUGAACUCUACAUGCUGUCUACUUCUAACCCUCUUUGGCCUGACUCCAGCUUCAACACCUGGAAACAUGGCAAAAAGAACAGGGGGACAUUGGCUUGGACUGGAGCCACGUGUCAGAGUUUGACUCAAGGAUAGUUGAUGUAGAAUGAAGAGAAUGAGCAGGGAACAAGAGAAGGAAGUCAUCUCUGGAGAUAAAGAGAGUGAGCCCAAGCCACAGAAAGAAAAGGAGAAUGAAGACUGG
This 294-nucleotide long non-coding RNA is filed under the name Homo sapiens (human). RNAcentral describes it as "HSALNT0358704". The record is from RNAcentral. Lineage: Eukaryota; Metazoa; Chordata; Mammalia; Primates; Hominidae.